RNAcentral lists this transfer RNA (67 nucleotides) under Helcophorus sp. UPOL A00570. Its description in RNAcentral is "tRNA-Gln". The record is from RNAcentral. Lineage: Eukaryota; Metazoa; Arthropoda; Insecta; Coleoptera; Lycidae.
UUAAGAAAUUAAAUUUAAUUUUACAAUGAAAAUGUAAUGUUUUUUUUAAACCACAUAAACUAGAAAU